AAAGAAUCUCAUUCAGCCUUUUUACCUAUGGCAGCCACUACUAGAAAAAUUACAUUGCAUCAAACUUUUUGACAGUUGCCCAUGCCCAGGAAGGACUGGACUGUCACCCAUGGGAGUGAGCUCCCCAUCUUUGGAGGUAUACAAAAGAAAUCAAGACAGAAUCGGAAAGGUCUGACGCAGAUCAGCCUGCCCACUCUUCAGUGUUUGGGUUGUUCAAGCCCAACUUCCUCCCUGGUCAGUGUGUAACAGUCUCUGGCCACAUGCUGUCUAAUGUUCUGGCUCUCCACUUCCUCUUUUUCUUUUGGGCCUGGCAUCCUUCCUCUAUCCUGGUCCCUCCCCCUUGGCGGCCUUCCCUGUGUCCUGGCUGCCUGUGGUUUCUUGUAUUACUGCUCUGAGCAAUAAUGACAGUGGGAGCGUCUGUGUCAGACUGUCUCCCCCGCCUCAGGAUGGGAGCUUGUUGAAGGCCAGACCCGGCAGAGGCCUCUCCAGGGCCUGGCCUUUGCAGGACAAGGCUGGGCAUCCAGGAAGUGCAUGAUAAAGACUCGUAGAAUGGAGGUGAAAAGCCCAUUCAUCUGCCAUUCGUUCAUUCAUUUAUUCCUUCACGUAUAUUUAUUGACUGGGUCAGGACUCGAACCCAGGACCUUCUGAAUGAAGUCCAUGAUCUUCCUCUGCCCAAAGCUGUGAGUUAUGAUUGUCGGUAUUAAUUGUAGCUGGCCAUAAAGGGCCCUGGGGUUUCAUGAUGUGUCUCCACCAGGGGGUCUGACUGGGGGCAGGGUCCCUCCUUAGGCCUCUGGGGGCUGAUGUUCUGAGUGUUCUGAAGCCCUGAUGUUUUCCUGCCCCAUAGCGUGCCCCAGCUGGGGCCCCUGGGCUGAGGAGUGUGGGGAGCAUCUCCUCAGAGAUGAAGAAGAAUCUGGGGAGCAUUUCUGAAAUCCCAGGCGUUGGAUUCAGGUCACCGUCCUCCUGCCUUCGUCCACCCCCAGCUCCAUGUCUGUUUCAAGGUCGCCAGUCCCCAGAGGGGUCAGACCAUGGCGUUUGUGGGGAAAAUGGAACCCUCGGCCCUCAGGACUGCCAGAUGCUCUCAUCUUCUUCACCUGACAAUUCUUUUCUCUUUUUAGCAUUUUUGUUGAGAUUAACAUAGGCAUGGUCAAGUUCACAAACGUCACAAGUAGAGGCUGAUGAGGGUGAUGACCUUCCAGUCUGGAUCUAGCACAUUCCCAGCCUCUGGCAGUUCUUGGACACUCCAGGUGAUUCUCCCGUCCCAAGGCGACCACUGCCCUGACCUCUGUUGCUGUAGGCAAUAAACCAAGAUUGCCCUGAUCGAUUUCUAUUCGUCGCCGCCGGCAUGAGGGUCACAACCAGGUCCAAGAGGAGGUCCAGCCUCAGAGCAUUGCCCUCGCCAUGACCUCUGCCAGGAAUGCCCUUCCUCCGCUUCCCACUGGGCCUGUCCUUCAGCAGGUCUUAUAGACUCAGCCUCCAGUGUGACCCUGAGCUCUUCCUGCACUCCCGCGGGCCCUGCCACCUCCUGCCUGGAUGCUGCCUUGGCCUCCUGCCACUUAUACUCCUGUCCUGGCCCUCCUUGCUCCCUGGGCAGCCUCAGAGGGAUUAUUAAAAUCUCCCAACCAGGUUUCUCCAUGGAACCCAACAAGCUGAG
This 1651-nucleotide long non-coding RNA is filed under the name Equus caballus (horse). Its description in RNAcentral is "lncRNA (ENSECAG00000059930.1)". Lineage: Eukaryota; Metazoa; Chordata; Mammalia; Perissodactyla; Equidae. The record is from RNAcentral.